This 253-nucleotide ribosomal RNA is filed under the name uncultured prokaryote. RNAcentral's name for it is "partial 16S ribosomal RNA". It matches the Rfam family "Bacterial small subunit ribosomal RNA", at positions 524 to 776 of the family's 1533-position model. The record is from RNAcentral.
UACGUAGGGUGCGAGCGUUAAUCGGAAUUACUGGGCGUAAAGUGUGCGCAGGCGGCUUGGCAAGUCGAGUGUGAAAUCCCCGGGCUUAACUUGGGAAUUGCGCUCGAAACUACCUGGCUAGAGUGUGGCAGAGGAAGGUGGAAUUCCACGUGUAGCGGUGAAAUGCGUAGAGAUCUGGAGGAAUACCGAUGGCGAAGGCAGCCUUCUGGCCUAACACUGACGCUGAGGUGCGAAAGCAUGGGGAGCAAACAGG